CUCUGCAGAGUCCUCUUUCGGUAAACUCCGAAUUUCUGGCGGGGCUUUUCGUGGCAGCAAAACGCCAAUCAAUUUCCAUCACGUUGAGCGUGACCAAACUGCAGUCCCGUGCAAGGGCCAUCCGCUUCCUUGAAAACCAUCUUUCAGAUGCUUCCCGCCCCGAAUCCUAAAAACAGGAAGCACGACACACUUAAGAUUUCUUCAGGGUGGUUUUUAUUUUUUUUUUUUUAAUUAUUUUUUAAAAAUGUUGUAAUACUUUCUUUCGUCAAGGAAAUUUUUAUUAGCAUUUGCAAAAUCUCCUGGCAUUGCGCUACCUCUAUUCAAGGGUAAGAGCCCCAACUGUGGCUACCUCAGUGGUGCCAGGGAGAUGGCUGAGGCCAGAGGGAUGACUGUGUAAGUGCUGUUUAUUUGACAAACGUGUAGGGCUCUAGGAGGGAGGACUCUUAAGCCCCUGGCUUUGAGAAGACACUUCUCUAUUUAUUGGAGACUGACAAUUAAACUGAAGCAAGCUGAUACUUCUUCAACACAUAUACUUUGUGUAAAGUAUUUUGCCAGGUAUAUCAUACAUGAGGAGGCGCAGCUCAGUCUCCAAACUCAGGUCUGGUUCUAAGAAUUUGUUCUACAUGGGUCAUCCAUUGGACCUCUCUCAUCCCUUCCUGCAGAACCUCUAAGGGUGAGUUCAAGUCUCCCAGGACAUAUUCAAUUGCUCCUCUACCACUCAGGGAAGGAGCUUUGCUUUUGCAUGCAUGCCAGGUAUGCAGACUUCCUCCUGUGCUUCUCAGGAACCUGAUAGACUUAAUUAAACCAAUUUGUGAGGAAACUGAGUCUUAGAUUGGUUCAGGAACUUGCCCAUUACUUUAUGUCCCACAUGGAAAGGAGCACAUUUUUCAAAGCAAAGUCCAAGUAUUUGCAUAAUUUGUGUUCCUUCCAUGAUGCUGAGCUACCUCAGAGUUAAAGUAUUAGGCCUUUUCAAUUCCCAUGCUAAACUCUAUCAUCUAGUACCAUCUAUCAUCUAGAAUUUAAACUUCCAGAAAUUUUUUCGGCAUCUACACUAAAACUGUAUAUUCUUGGGCCCAAUCACAGCCCUCCAGAAUCAGUAUCUCUAGUAGCUAAGCCAUGAAAUGAGUAAACUCAUUUCAUAAUUAUUAUUCAUCUCAAAUCUUGCAAACCAUGUUUUAACAUGUGUAAAUAAGUUUUUUUUUUUUUUAUCUUGGUAUGGAGGGUCAGAAAUGUCUGAAAUAGAAGAAGCUACAGCUAACUACUUUUGAAGCCAGCUAACUACUGAAAACUUUGGAGACCAAGGAAUGACCUUCAUACUGGGGGUAAAAAAAAAGAGGAAAGAAUAAUGCGAAACAAAAGAUGGGUUCCUGAGACAAAUUUCCCUUCCUUGAUUAUGCCUACAGGCAUCCCCAUGUGAGUAGGUAUAAGCUGGUGAGAAAAUGUAUUUAAUAUUUAAACCUAAAGUAACUUCUGGGCCUUAGCCCUAAGUCUAUAUUCCCAAAUGAAAUAACUCUGUUAUUAUUUUUAAUUCCCCCUGCCCAAUACCCCAAGGCAUAAGGUGCUUGACAUAGCAGUCUAGGUGCUAGUACACUUUCAGAACCAAAGUAGCUUUUCUAUUUUAUUCUUCACAUCACAGUAAAAAUGUGUUAGAUGGGUUGAAUGUCUGGCUUCAAAAUUUCAGAAAUUUGCACCUAAAUUGCACCUGUAAAAUAUGUUCUCACACAUGCAAGCAAGUUAUUUUACUUGCAAAUUAUUGUUUUGCAUAUGCAAUUACUUGCUUGCAUCUGGAUAUACAUUUUGUGGGACAAUUAAGUGUUUAUGUUAGAAAAUUAGAUCACUAAUUUUAUGUUCAUUUAUAUAAAGCUUAGAACGUAAACUUCCAGAAAUUUUUUCAGCAGAAAGAUCAAUAUAUGCUGCAUAUGGUCUAAAUGGGUUUUGGGGAAACAUUCUUUUAUCCAGUCAUUUGUUAAUUUGACAAAUAUUUCCUAAAU
RNAcentral lists this long non-coding RNA (1991 nucleotides) under Canis lupus familiaris (dog). RNAcentral describes it as "lncRNA (ENSCAFG00040005603.1)". Lineage: Eukaryota; Metazoa; Chordata; Mammalia; Carnivora; Canidae. The record is from RNAcentral.